UUUGCAACAUCAUUCUUGACUUUGGCAAGCAUGUAUAAGCAUAAGAGCAAAUUACAAGGCUUGUUUGUUAGUGAUGAAUGGAACGGGUCUAAAUUUUCCCUAGUUAAAGAAGGUGAACAAGAUGAAAAUAUUGUCCUUUCAGUAUCAUUUUGGCAAACUCUUGAAAAUUGUCUUCGGGCUUCACAACCACUACUCAUUGCUCUAAGGAUUGCUGACGGCGAUGAGACGCCAGCAGCUCCAGAGAUAAUGGCAGCUAUGGACAAAUCAAAAGCUACCAUACAGGAGUCUUUGAAAGAGAAGCCACGAUUACUUGUUGAAGUAAUCUCAUGCUUUGAGAAGAGGUGGGAUACUCAGAUGGAGCAAAAAUUAUAUGGGGCAGCCCUUUAUUUGAAUCCAGGUAAAUUCUUUACCUUGAGGGAUAAAGACAGGAGGCAAGCUGCAAGACUUCGAGCUAUGUUCAAUGAUGUUUUGUGGAAAAUGAUCAGUGAUGAGGAUGAGCAAACAAAAAUAAGUAAACAAGCAGAUGACUACGAAAGAUCAGAAGGGGAAUGCUUUUCAAAGGCUGGAGCAAUAAGAGAAAGAGAGAGAAAAAGUCCUAGUAAGUUUUACUAUUGCAGCAUUAGUUAGUUUGUUUGCCUGUUUCUGUUUGGCACUAGAACUGAUCUAAUUUUUGUAUAACUAUAACAGUCCUAUGGUGGGGUGCAUAUGGAGGACUGGCAUAUGAACUACAAAUCUUAGCAAAAAGGGUUAUAAGCCUAUGUUGUGCAGCUUCAGGUUGUGAGAGAAAUUGGUCAGAUUUUGUAGCAGUAAGUAUUGUUGUUCUUGUUCACUUGUUUGAGUGGUUGUAUGGGUCAGCCCUUUAUUUGCUGAAUCUGAUGUCUUGCAAUUGUGCAUUUUUAGAUCCAUACAAAAAAGAGGAACCGACUAGAACACCAGAGGCUUAAUAAAUUGGUCUAUGUCAGUUACAA
RNAcentral lists this long non-coding RNA (968 nucleotides) under Zea mays. RNAcentral's name for it is "long non-coding RNA (ZMAY_LNC004965)". The record is from RNAcentral. Lineage: Eukaryota; Viridiplantae; Streptophyta; Magnoliopsida; Poales; Poaceae.